RNAcentral lists this ribosomal RNA (406 nucleotides) under uncultured bacterium. RNAcentral describes it as "partial 16S ribosomal RNA". It matches the Rfam family "Bacterial small subunit ribosomal RNA", at positions 30 to 526 of the family's 1533-position model. The record is from RNAcentral.
AUUGAACGCUGGCGGCAGGCUUAACACAUGCAAGUCGAGCGAGCGGCGGACGGGUGAGUAAUGUCUGGGAAACUGCCUGAUGGAGGGGGAUAACUACCGGAAACGGUAGCUAAUACCGCAUACCAUCAGAUGUGCCCAGAUGGGAUUAGCUAGUAGGUGGGGUAAUGGCUCACCUAGGCGACGAUCCCUAGCUGGUCUGUGAGGAUGACCAGCCACCCUGGAACGGAGACACGGUCCAGCCGCCUACGUGCGGCAGCGGUGGGGAAUAUUGCACAGUGGGCGCAAGCCUUAUGCAGCCAUGCCGCGUGUGUGAAGAGGGCCUUCGGGUUGUAAAGCACUUUCAGCGAGGAGGCGUUACUCGCAGAAGAAGCACCGGCUGACUCCGUGCCAGCAGCCGCGGUAAUUC